AGAGUUUGAUCAUGGCUCAGAACGAACGCUGGCGGCAGGCCUAACACAUGCAAGUCGAACGAACCUUCGGGUUAGUGGCGCACGGGUGCGUAACGCGUGGGAAUAUACCCUUGAGUACGGAAUAAUGUCUGGAAACGGACACUAAUACCGUAUAAUGACUCCGGUCCAAAGAUUUAUCGCUCAAGGAUUAGCCCGCGUCUGAUUAGCUAGUUGGUGAGGUAACGGCUCACCAAGGCGAUGAUCAGUAGGGGGUCUGAGAGGAUGAUCCCCCACACUGGGACUGAGACACGGCCCAGACUCCUACGGGAGGCAGCAGUGAGGAAUAUUGGACAAUGGGGGCAACCCUGAUCCAGCCAUGCCGCGUGAGUGAAGAAGGCCUUAGGGUUGUAAAGCUCUUUCAAUAGUGAAGAUAAUGACGGUAGCUAUAGAAGAAGCCCCGGCUAAAUUCGUGCCAGCAGCCGCGGUAAUACGAAUGGGGCAAGCGUUGUUCGGAAUCACUGGGCUUAAAGCGUGCGUAGGCGGAAACGUAAGUCAGGAGUGAAAUCCCAGGGCUCAACCCUGGAACUGCUCUUGAAACUACGUUUCUAGAAUCCGGUAGA
This 599-nucleotide ribosomal RNA is filed under the name uncultured Alphaproteobacteria bacterium. Its description in RNAcentral is "bacterial SSU rRNA". It matches the Rfam family "Bacterial small subunit ribosomal RNA", at positions 8 to 655 of the family's 1533-position model. Lineage: Bacteria; Pseudomonadati; Pseudomonadota; Alphaproteobacteria. The record is from RNAcentral.